This 503-nucleotide ribosomal RNA is filed under the name uncultured bacterium. RNAcentral's name for it is "partial 16S ribosomal RNA". It matches the Rfam family "Bacterial small subunit ribosomal RNA", at positions 28 to 523 of the family's 1533-position model. The record is from RNAcentral.
GAUGAACGCUAGCUACAGGCUUAACACAUGCAAGUCGAGGGGCAGCAUUCUUGUAGCAAUACAAGAGAUGGCGACCGGCGCACGGGUGAGUAACACGUAUCCAACCUGCCUUCAACUCGGGGAUAGCCUUUCGAAAGAAAGAUUAAUACCCGAUGGCAUAGCAAUUCCGCAUGGUGUUGCUAUUAAAGAAUUUCGGUUGAAGAUGGGGAUGCGUUCCAUUAGAUUGUUGGCGGGGUAACGGCCCACCAAGUCGACGAUGGAUAGGGGUUCUGAGAGGAAGGUCCCCCACAUUGGAACUGAGACACGGUCCAAACUCCUACGGGAGGCGGCAGUGAGGAAUAUUGGUCAAUGGGCGAGAGCCUGAACCAGCCAAGUAGCGUGAAGGAUGACCGCCCUAUGGGUUGUAAACUUCUUUUGUGUGGGAAUAAAGUGAGCCACGUGUGGCUUUUUGUAUGUACCAUACGAAUAAGGAUCGGCUAACUCCGUGCCAGCAGCCGCAGUAA